UGCCUUACACAUGCAAGUCGAACGGUAACGCGGGGCAACCUGGCGACGAGUGGCGAACGGGUGAGUAAUGCAUCGGAACGUGCCCAGUAGUGGGGGAUAGCCCGGCGAAAGCCGGAUUAAUACCGCAUACGACCUAAGGGUGAAAGCGGGGGACCGUAAGGCCUCGCGCUAUUGGUGCGGCCGAUGUCAGAUUAGGUAGUUGGUGGGGUAAAAGCCUACCAAGCCGACGAUCUGUAGCUGGUCUGAGAGGACGACCAGCCACACUGGGACUGAGACACGGCCCAGACUCCUACGGGAGGCAGCAGUGGGGAAUUUUGGACAAUGGGCGCAAGCCUGAUCCAGCAAUGCCGCGUGCGGGAAGAAGGCCUUCGGGUUGUAAACCGC
This 384-nucleotide ribosomal RNA is filed under the name uncultured organism. RNAcentral describes it as "bacterial SSU rRNA". It matches the Rfam family "Bacterial small subunit ribosomal RNA", at positions 45 to 433 of the family's 1533-position model. The record is from RNAcentral.